GAGACUCUACUGCAGGAAAGUCCUGUUCUCUGUCCAGGCAGCAGCCUUGAUAAGCCAAAGGGCACAGAGUACUUUCUCAUGCGGGAUUAUAGAGGGGCUUCCCAUAGGUUAAGGUGGCCUACUGGACAUUUGACCGUGCAGUUACAAAGAACCUAGAAGCAGAAGGAAGAGGUCACUGAGAUGUUGCCUGAUGCUCAUGUUCAAAACAGUAACAGGACAAUGCCAUUUGGCAGGCCUGUGGGUGUCUAGCUGCCUUGUAUGUGGCCUGUAGCCAGCUCGCGGAGACCAUCGAGGAUACAGGUACUAUUCCGCUGGAGGUAUGUGAACAGUUCCAGACAGACAUGGGCAAGAAGAUUCUCAGCAAUCUGAGAAAACCUGAGGACCACUGAGUCCAUUUCCACGAGAAUGCCGCCUCCUAAGUGGAGUUUGAUGGGCUAAUGGAGUAACCACACUAGCAGUGGACAUACACUUAAUCUCUGUGUCCACUGCCAUCCCUGGACACCUCAUUUGUAGAUGGCACUUGCAGCGCCCUGGCAGCCCAGAGUUACAGUGGAAUCACCCAUGCGUGGGAAUUCACUCAAAAGCAACAUUAGAUAGAAAGCAAAAAAGAGGGCCUACCUGGUGGCUCAAGGGGUUAAGACGCAACCUAUGAAGCUACCUGCAGCCACUGCAGCACUAGUUCAAUCCCUGGCCAGGGAGCUACCCACAUGGUGCAGCAGACCUCUCCUGACUCGCCCACUGCUCCCCUCAGCAGUAUAUUUAGUGGGAGGAUUCUACAUUAUACAGAGCCCUACAACUGAUGAAAUCAAUCUCUGGAAACUCUGGAGAGGCGCUUGCAUGCCAUCGAGGGCGGCGUCACGGGGGGACGCUAGCAGCCCCAGCCAGCAGCAGCAGAACCUGAAGGAGAAGCCGAAGCAGAAGCAGAGAACGCCAGAGAGCCCAGAUAGAGUGAAGACUUGCUGGGGGCUGGGAGGCCUGCCAGCCUCCCAGUCCCCCAGCCAGCACCCCUGCCUGCCAUAUGCCUGGUGAACCCCAAAUAAAAGACCUGCAAAACCACUGAGGACUCUGACUCCUCCUUUACCCGGUCUGCAUGGGAUCAGAAAACCUGCACCUGUGCCCAGUCCUGCCUCUACAAUUGGCGUAAGUCGGCAAGAUCCAUGCAGACAGGUAUUGGAGCCCUCCGAAGACCUGGAGGGACUAAGGAGUAAAAGACUGCCUGUGACGACGCUGGAGGCGCCAUGGCGGUACAGAAGAUGGAUACGUCCACGAGCUACAGGAUGAGACCUGGCGUGAAGGAGACGCCCGAAAGGACCAGCCAACGACACCGGAAAGGACCAGCCAACGACACCGGAUAGGACCAGCCAACGACACCGGAAAGGACCAGCCAAUGACCCCUGAGGCAGCAGGCCAUUGCUGAAGCAGGGAGAGGCCAAUGGACUGAUAGACUGAUGAACUGAUGAUUUUGGACUGACAAUCCUGCCAGAAGGCGGAGGACCUUAGCAGGUUAUGUUUAUUUUUUGAGAAUCUGGGGGUGGCCAGUGGGCCUAGAUGGCCAAAAGCAGCCUGUGUAUGCCCAGUGGCCAGGUGGAGGAGAAAAGCCAACUGAGAAAGCAAAAGCUGGUACUGAUGAUAAGUUGAGAAGCCCUGAGCGGCUGUUAAGCAGCCUGGGUAUGCUGAAGAACUGUGAGUCUCGUAAAAUCACCUGUGGGUGAUGCCCUGCUCAUUCUUGAGUGAGGGUGAGGAGCUGAGGAGCCCGUCCUUGGGGGACG
This is a long non-coding RNA of Talpa occidentalis (Iberian mole), 1769 nucleotides long. RefSeq lists it as uncharacterized. The transcript is spliced from 5 exons. NCBI's taxonomy places the organism in Eukaryota, Metazoa, Chordata, Mammalia, Eulipotyphla, Talpidae. The record is from RefSeq and is a predicted model, not a curated record.